RNAcentral lists this ribosomal RNA (810 nucleotides) under uncultured Gammaproteobacteria bacterium. RNAcentral's name for it is "bacterial SSU rRNA". It matches the Rfam family "Bacterial small subunit ribosomal RNA", at positions 1 to 803 of the family's 1533-position model. The record is from RNAcentral. Lineage: Bacteria; Pseudomonadati; Pseudomonadota; Gammaproteobacteria.
CCGCGGGAUAGAGUUUGAUCCUGGCUCAGAUUGAACGCUGGCGGCAGGCUUAACACAUGCAAGUCGAGCGGAUGAAGGUAGCUUGCUACUGGAUUCAGCGGCGGACGGGUGAGUAAUGCUUAGGAAUCUGCCUAUUAGUGGGGGACAACGUUCCGAAAGGAGCGCUAAUACCGCAUACGUCCUACGGGAGAAAGCAGGGGACCUUUGGGCCUUGCGCUAAUAGAUGAGCCUAAGUCGGAUUAGCUAGUUGGUAGGGUAAAGGCCUACCAAGGCGACGAUCUGUAGCGGGUCUGAGAGGAUGAUCCGCCACACUGGGACUGAGACACGGCCCAGACUCCUACGGGAGGCAGCAGUGGGGAAUAUUGGACAAUGGGGGGAACCCUGAUCCAGCCAUGCCGCGUGUGUGAAGAAGGCCUUUUGGUUGUAAAGCACUUUAAGCGAGGAGGAGGCUACCUAGAUUAAUACUUUAGGAUAGUGGACGUUACUCGCAGAAUAAGCACCGGCUAACUCUGUGCCAGCAGCCGCGGUAAUACAGAGGGUGCGAGCGUUAAUCGGAUUUACUGGGCGUAAAGCGUGCGUAGGCGGCCAAUUAAGUCAAAUGUGAAAUCCCCGAGCUUAACUUGGGAAUUGCAUUCGAUACUGGUUGGCUAGAGUAUGGGAGAGGAUGGUAGAAUUCCAGGUGUAGCGGUGAAAUGCGUAGAGAUCUGGAGGAAUACCGAUGGCGAAGGCAGCCAUCUGGCCUAAUACUGACGCUGAGGUGCGAAAGCAUGGGGAGCAAACAGGAUUAGAUACCCUGGUAGUCCAUGCCGU